UCCACGGCAUCGUUGGGGUUAAGCCACUUAGCUAUGGAGGCAAGUGAAUGUGCAACAAGGGAUCUCUAACCUUCAAACCGUUUGAGGGAGAAUACUCUAUGAUAUGAUUUGGAAUCUCUGGCCAGAGUAUGAAUGAGAUUUAGGAAGUCGUUCCAAAUCACAUUCAAGGUAAUCAUAUAAGCACACGAAUUACAUUGGAUAGUAGACAUGAAUAAAUAAACUAUCAAACCAAACAAUGUGGUCAAGAGUAUUGUAUUAGAGAAAGACCGUAUUGCAUUUGUAAUCCUAAAUUGAAUAGGUUCUCCACCUCUUCUGAUUAGCUUGGGUAACCAUGAUAUGCUGCUAGGUGUCACUCAUGGUUUGU
RNAcentral lists this long non-coding RNA (364 nucleotides) under Malus domestica (apple). Its description in RNAcentral is "long non-coding RNA (MDOM_LNC000623)". Lineage: Eukaryota; Viridiplantae; Streptophyta; Magnoliopsida; Rosales; Rosaceae. The record is from RNAcentral.